CAACCUCAAUGAGCGAUUUACACAAUUACAUCUGGUAACAUAUUCAGUACUGCGAUACUUGUUUAGUGUGGUUUUAGUCGCGAUAAGUGCGUACAAAUAAAUAUGGCGGACCCGUUGUCUCUUCUUCGGCAGUAUAAUGUCAACAAGAAAGAAAUAAUCGAGCGUGAAAAUGAGAUAAUAUUUGGUGAAUUUUCUUGGCCGAAGAACGUCAAAACUAACUAUCUGACUUACGGGUCAGGAAAAGAAGGAAACGCCAAGGAGUACUACACGCUCGAGUGUUUAUUAUUCCUUUUGAAACAUGUACAACUCACUCAUCCGGUUUACGUGCGUCAAGCAGCAGCGGAAAAUAUUCCGGUGGUGCGACGUCCGGACAGAAAAGAUUUAUUGGCAUAUCUCAAUGGUGAGACGGCGAAUUCAGCAGCCAUAGAUAAGUCAGCGCCGAUCGGUCUGUCGACGCAGGUUAAACGAACAGCUGAAGAUGGUACAGAGAGUGGUUCCUCCAAAAAGCCACGUUUUGAGGAGACUCAUGUGCAAAAAGUGAAGGAACAAUUGGCUGCGAGGCUGGAUGCACCGAAGGAGGCUUCAGUGACGGUGGACAAUAUUAAAUCAUUGUCAGAGGCAAUGUCCGUGGAAAAAAUAGCAGCGAUAAAAGCCAAGCGUUUGGCUAAAAAGCGAACGACCAUUAAGGAAAAUGAUGACAUAGGAAUGGGCUCGGACUUGCGAGUAAUCCUUGAUCUUGAUGUGGACGACACGAAGGACAUUGUUUCGAGGGAAAGGCAAUGGCGAACAAGAGCGACGAUAUUGCAGAGCAGUGGUAAAGUAUUUGCCAAAAAUAUAUUCGCCAUAUUGCAGAGUAUCAAAGCAAGAGAGGAAGGUAGACAAAAAGGACCCUCCGCGCCGACUCCCAUGGUCACACCAAGAUCUACUCCGAUGAGACCUCUGCCACAACCAGCAGUUUACAAUCGUUACGAUCAGGAAAGAUUCAUAAGACAAAAAGAAGAAACGGAAGGUUUCAAGAUCGAUACCAUGGGAACAUACCACGGUAUGACACUGAAAUCCGUGACUGAAGGCACAAAUCCAGCUGUGAGAAAACCGCCCAUCGCGAAUCCAUCGACGACACCUACUUCUGGCUUAUUACCAACGUCUGCUGCUAAAUUAACUCCUCAACAAGCAGCACAGAACAAACGACCAAGCAGGACACCCAUCAUAAUUAUACCAAACGCCAACACGUCUCUCAUUACGAUGUACAACGCCAAGGAUAUACUUCAAGAAUUAAAAUAUGUUUCCAACGAGGAGAAACGGGCCUCGGGAUGUAAGAGGGAAAACGAAAUUUUACUCCAACGAAGAAAAGAUGGUGGUCUCACUGUGCCAUACCGCGUUGUCGACACACCCGCAAAACUGACCAACGCCGAUUGGGAAAGAGUUGUUGCCGUUUUUGUUAUGGGACCCGCAUGGCAAUUCAAGGGAUGGCCUUUCGACGGAAACCCUGUAGAGAUUUUCUCCAAAGUCUCCGCAUUCCACUUGAAAUACGACGAAAUGAAGCUCGACGCGAACGUUGCUCGUUGGGCAGUUACGGUAAUCGAAUUGAGCAGAGAAAAACGUCACUUAGACAGAGCAGCACUGAUGAUGUUCUGGGAACAUCUUGACAAGCACAUGAUCAAGAACAAACCGCACUUGCGUUUUUAAACAAUGACAAAUCAUCGUACACCAUUCAUCAUCUCUCGUAGACACCCUCAUUCGCACUGCGUGCAGUUCGGUUGGACGCAAGGGAUUCCUGGCAUGACCGGAGGCAAGUGAAGCAAUCCGCUGCGAUUCGUAUGCUCGCGCAAUUGUUGCUGGACACUCGAAUUGAAGUAGUUGUUGUACUGGACACUGAAU
RNAcentral lists this unclassified non-coding RNA (1878 nucleotides) under Venturia canescens. RNAcentral's name for it is "parafibromin, transcript variant X2". Lineage: Eukaryota; Metazoa; Arthropoda; Insecta; Hymenoptera; Ichneumonidae. The record is from RNAcentral.